Molecule: long non-coding RNA, 743 nt
Filed under: Ailuropoda melanoleuca (giant panda)
Lineage: Eukaryota; Metazoa; Chordata; Mammalia; Carnivora; Ursidae
Description: lncRNA (ENSAMEG00000025952.1)
Source: RNAcentral
GUCUGGAUGGUUCUGGUAUAGACUCUGGGCUAAGAACUGCUGUGAAGACCUCUGCUGAUGGCCCUUCUGAUACUUCACAGUGUUGACGUGAGGACUCCCCCGUCCACACAUGAGGAAUGCAAACGCCCGCCCAGCUGAGGACGGCCAGGAGCACACCUGCCCGGGAUUGCUGGGUCACGAGACGGGGAAAGCGCUCGGAGAGGCGGGGUACCUUGCAGCAUCACCUACCAGCAAAUGGGGCAUCAGGGAGCAUGGACUCUUCUCUACUGGUUGGAGGUUAGUGGGGCUCUGGAAUACAGGGGGAGGUCAGAGAGGAUCUGACUGAUGAAACCUAGUGAAUAGGUUGCAGGGGGCAGGGGGGAGAGGUAAAGGGGAAGGAUCUGAUGAAUUUGGCACUGCCUGUCCCCUACUUAUUCCCCGUCCCCAGGGAAAUGCUGUAACACGUCUUUCUGUUGUCCCACAUUCUCUGCGGCAGUGCAGUGCAGACCCAGGGACCACACUGCCUGUGCCCCCACCCCCCAGAAAAUGGAGCCUUUGGCUAGGGAGUGAGUGCAGCUGACUUAGAGGGGGAACUGCAGGGCAGCAAGAGGGAGGGAAAAGAGAGGGGACGGAGGGGAGGAUGGGAAGUGACACGAGGUGAUGGAGAACCACACAGUCAGUGCUGGUCGCUGCUCUACGACAGACCACACAUGGGAAACGUGCCUCAAAUGGUCCAAGGAGGGAAGAGCGGGAUCUGUCCUCCC